CCUUCUAACUGUUAAGUCCUCUUUGCUUAACAAAUAAAAACAAAAUGCAUUUGGAAAGACAGAGGCUAUAUGGCAGGGGCUGGGUUUCUGAGUUAAUAUUCCAGUGAUAACAGUAACAAUAAAUAGACAGCGACCGGACAUGCGGUCCUGCACUGGGUUUAUAUGGAUGUCAUUUCAUUCAGUGCUUCCCAGGAGGAAAUGAGAAUGGAAGGGAUGUUAGCUGACUUGUUCAGAGACACAGUUGAGCACAGGCUCCAGGGCAUGAGGGCUCAGCAGUUGUGGCAUAUGAGUCUAGUUACCCCAUGGCAUGUGGAAUCUUCCCAGACCACGGAUCAAACCCAUGUCCCCUGCUUUGGCAGGUGGAUUCUUAACCACUGGAACACCAGCCUUAAAGAAGAAAUCUUCCAGAUUCGAUGUUUGUCAACAGUUUGGUUAUUUGGAUAACCCUUGGCCCCAGUGUGGGUCCCACUGAAGCUGAAUACGCACAACUCCUGGAUCAAUUUCUAACAUGAAGCAGGUUUUCAUCUCACCUGGAAGUGCUGGGCAGAGGGGAUUUUUCUCUCUCCAUUCCCUGAUUCUUUUAUACUCUUAAGGUAUUUAAC
Molecule: long non-coding RNA, 602 nt
Organism: Bos taurus (domestic cattle)
Lineage: Eukaryota; Metazoa; Chordata; Mammalia; Artiodactyla; Bovidae
Source: Ensembl